CCUACGGGACGCUGCAGUGGGGGAUAUUGCACAAUGGGGGAAACCCUGAUGCAGCGACGCCGCGUGGGUGAAGAAGCGCCUCGGCGCGUAAAGCCCUGUCAGCAGGGAAGAAAAUGACGGUACCUGAAGAAGAAGCCCCGGCUAACUACGUGCAAGCAGCCGCGGUAAUACGUAGGGGGCAAGCGUUAUCCGGAUUUACUGGGUGUAAAGGGGGCGCAGACGGCGGUGCAAGCCAGGAGUGAAAGCCCGGGGCCCAACCCCGGGACUGCUCUUGGAACUGGCAAACUGGAGUGUGUGAGAGGAUAGGGGAAUUCCAGGUGUAGGAGUGAAAUGCGUAGAGAUCUGGAGGAACAGCAGUGGCGAAGGCGACUAUCUGGCACAUAACUGACGCUGAGGAGCGAAAGCGUGGGUAGCAAACAGGAUUAGAUACCCGAGUAGUC
Molecule: ribosomal RNA, 440 nt
Filed under: uncultured bacterium
Lineage: Bacteria
Description: partial 16S ribosomal RNA
Rfam family: Bacterial small subunit ribosomal RNA
Source: RNAcentral